AUUGAACGCUGGCGGAAUGCUUUACACAUGCAAGUCGAACGGCAGCACGGACUUCGGUCUGGUGGCGAGUGGCGAACGGGUGAGUAAUGUAUCGGAACGUUCCCAGUCGUGGGGGAUAACGUAGUGAAAAUUACGCUAAUACCGCAUACGAUCUAUGGAUGAAAGCGGGGGAUCGCAAGACCUCGCGCGAUUGGAGCGGCCGAUAUCAGAUUAGGUAGUUGGUGGGGUAAAGGCCCACCAAGCCAACGAUCUGUAGCUGGUCUGAGAGGACGACCAGCCACACUGGAACUGAGACACGGUCCAGACUCCUACGGGAGGCAGCAGUGGGGAAUUUUGGACAAUGGGCGAAAGCCUGAUCCAGCCAUUCCGCGUGCAGGAUGAGGGCCCUCGGGUUGUAAACUGCUUUUGUACAGAACGAAAAGGUUUCUACUAAUACUAGGAGCUCAUGACGGUACUGUAAGAAUAAGCACCGGCUAACUACGUGCCAGCAGCCGCAGUAA
Molecule: ribosomal RNA, 500 nt
Filed under: uncultured bacterium
Lineage: Bacteria
Description: partial 16S ribosomal RNA
Rfam family: Bacterial small subunit ribosomal RNA
Source: RNAcentral